AACGAACGCUGGCGGCAUGCCUAACACAUGCAAGUCGAACGAGACCUUCGGGUCUAGUUGCGCACGGGUGCGUAACGCGUGGGAACCUUCCCUUAUGUUCGGAAUAACUCCCCUAAAUGGGUGCUAAUACCGGGUAAUGUCUGCUGACCAAAGAUUUAUCGACUUUGGAUGGGCCCGCGUUGGAUUAGCUAGUUGGUAGGGUAAAAGCCUACCAAGGCUACGAUCCAUAGCUGGUCUGAGAGGAUGAUCAGCCACACUGGGACUGAGACACGGCCCAGACUACUACGGGAGGCAGCAGUGGGGAAUAUUGGACAAUGGGCGAAAGCAUGAUCCAGCAAUGCCGCGUGAGUGAUGAAGGCCUUAGGGUUGUAAAGCUCUUUUACCCGGGAUGAUAAUGACAGUACCGGGAGAAUAAGCUCCGGCUAACUCCGUG
Molecule: ribosomal RNA, 433 nt
Filed under: uncultured bacterium
Lineage: Bacteria
Description: partial 16S ribosomal RNA
Rfam family: Bacterial small subunit ribosomal RNA
Source: RNAcentral